UGGGGAAUAUUGCACAAUGGGCGCAAGCCUGAUGCAGCCAUGCCGCGUGUAUGAAGAAGGCCUUCGGGUUGUAAAGUACUUUCAGUCGGGAGGAAGGUGGUAAGGUUAAUAACCUUAUCAAUUGACGUUACCGACAUAAGAAGCACCGGCUAACUCCGUGCCAGCAGCCGCGGUAAUACGGAGGGUGCAAGCGUUAAUCGGAAUUACUGGGCGUAAAGCGCACGCAGGCGGUUGAUUGAGUCAGAUGUGAAAUCCCCGGGCUUAACCCGGGAAUUGCAUCUGAUACUGGUCAGCUAGAGUCUUGUAGAGGGGGGUAGAAUUCCAUGUGUAGCGGUGAAAUGCGUAGAGAUGUGGAGGAAUACCGGGGGCGAAGGCGGCCCCCUGGACAAAGACUGACGCUCAGGUGCGAAAGCGUGGGGAGCAAACAGG
This 429-nucleotide ribosomal RNA is filed under the name Chloroflexota bacterium. RNAcentral's name for it is "Chloroflexi bacterium partial 16S ribosomal RNA". It matches the Rfam family "Bacterial small subunit ribosomal RNA", at positions 355 to 776 of the family's 1533-position model. Lineage: Bacteria; Bacillati; Chloroflexota. The record is from RNAcentral.